This 253-nucleotide ribosomal RNA is filed under the name uncultured bacterium. Its description in RNAcentral is "partial 16S ribosomal RNA". It matches the Rfam family "Bacterial small subunit ribosomal RNA", at positions 524 to 776 of the family's 1533-position model. The record is from RNAcentral.
UACGAAGGGGGCUAGCGUUGCUCGGAAUCACUGGGCGUAAAGCGCACGUAGGCGGAUUGCUAAGUCAGGGGUGAAAGCCCCGGGCUCAACCUGGGAACCGCGCUUGAGACUGGCACGCUAGAGUUCGGGAGAGGAUGGUGGAAUUCCCAGUGUAGAGGUGAAAUUCGUAGAUAUUGGGAAGAACACCGAUGGCGAAGGCAGCCAUCUGGACCGACACUGACGCUGAGGCGCGAAAGCGUGGGGAGCAAACAGG